GGGAAUGUACUAGAAGAGGAGAUGAAAUGUCUCUGUCAUGGAUCAGGACAGAAUAUCAAAGAUGGCAACAUUUCUGUAGGAGAGGAUGAGGAAAGCAGCCAGGUAGACAAAGCAACAAGAGAGGACACUUCCUCACUACGUUUGCACAAUGAGGACAACAGUGAGAGGGUGAGGAAAGAACUGCUUUAUAACUAGAAUCCUUCAUCUCACUUAAAAGUGAAGAUAUAUUUUCUACAGAUAAUUUACAAAGGACAAAGUUAACUGAUGUGUUAAGAGACUGGACAGGUCCUACACUGCUGGCCAUAUCUUACCCUGCAGAAGUACUGGAUAUUGUUAUAUACUGCAACGCAAAACUUUAUUUUAACUUCUUCAUCACUUGAGCAGCAUAUGUAUGUGUAUCUGUCUAGAUAGAUAGCAGACAGACCAAUGAACAUAUUAACGACAUUUCAUCAGGUGUCACAGUGUGUUGAAAGAAAAUUUAUCUCCUGCAGGUCAUCACUAAUACCAUCGCAGUGAGGAGUAUGUAAUAACUUUUAGUUGUCAAUAGUGUAAUAGCAGAGGUGUUUACCAUGUAGACGAUCUAUUACAUUUUUAUGGGGCUGUCUGGGAAAUUUUAUAGGACUGAAUAUAAUCCAGGUUGCUAAAUUACAUGAAGCUGGUGUGAGUGAACAAUUUUAUGUUCAAAUAGACUUAAAGAAAACACAUUAUUAACAAACAUAUUAAAACAACUUUCAUUAGUGAAGAUAUCAGUAGCCAACAUAAAUUAUCUGACUAAUCUUUCCUUUAA
RNAcentral lists this long non-coding RNA (787 nucleotides) under Anser cygnoides (Swan goose). RNAcentral describes it as "lncRNA (ENSACDG00005002261.1)". Lineage: Eukaryota; Metazoa; Chordata; Aves; Anseriformes; Anatidae. The record is from RNAcentral.